GUACUUGCUCCUGCGAUAUGUAUACUAAAACUGUAAAGAUACAGAGAUUAGCAUCGCCCUUGUGCAAGGAAGACAGUCAAAUUCCUGAAGCAUACCAUAUUUCU
This is a small nuclear RNA of Microtus ochrogaster (prairie vole), 104 nucleotides long. Lineage: Eukaryota; Metazoa; Chordata; Mammalia; Rodentia; Cricetidae. The record is from Ensembl.